UACCUCCCAGGAUCGUGUCUAGAGGAGCUAAUAUUCUGACAGCUUUGGAUAUAGGAGGGAAAGCAAGCCUGGGAGAGGUACUCAUUCCAUUCCCCACAUUCUCUAUAGCUGGUGAUUGGACGACACGCUGCAAUCAUG
This 138-nucleotide small nucleolar RNA is filed under the name Myotis lucifugus (little brown bat). The record is from RNAcentral. Lineage: Eukaryota; Metazoa; Chordata; Mammalia; Chiroptera; Vespertilionidae.